GACGAACGCUGGCGGCGUGCUUAACACAUGCAAGUCGAACGGAAAGGCCCUGCUUUUGUGGGGUGCUCGAGUGGCGAACGGGUGAGUAACACGUGAGUAACCUGCCCUUGACUUUGGGAUAACUUCAGGAAACUGGGGCUAAUACCGGAUAGGAGCUCCUGCUGCAUGGUGGGGGUUGGAAAGUUUCGGCGGUUGGGGAUGGACUCGCGGCUUAUCAGCUUGUUGGUGGGGUAGUGGCUUACCAAGGCUUUGACGGGUAGCCGGCCUGAGGGGGUGACCGGCCACAUUGGGACUGGGAUACGGCCCAGACUCCUACGGGAGGCAGCAGUGGGGAAUAUUGCACAAUGGGCGGAAGCCUGAUGCAGCAACGCCGCGUGCGGGAUGACGGCCUUCGGGUUGUAAACCGCUUUCGCCUGUGACGAAGCGUGAGUGACGGUAAUGGGUAAAGAAGCACCGGCUAACUACGUG
This 468-nucleotide ribosomal RNA is filed under the name uncultured bacterium. Its description in RNAcentral is "partial 16S ribosomal RNA". It matches the Rfam family "Bacterial small subunit ribosomal RNA", at positions 28 to 507 of the family's 1533-position model. The record is from RNAcentral.